GACGAACGCUGGCGGCGUGCCUAAUACAUGCAAGUUGAGCGAUGAAGAUUGGUGCUUGCACCCAUUUGAAGAGCAGCGAACGGGUGAGUAACGCGUGGGGAAUCUGCCUUUGAGCGGGGGACAACAUUUGGAAACGAAUGCUAAUACCGCAUAACAACUUUAAACAUAAGUUUUAAGUUUGAAAGAUGCAAUUGCAUCACUCAAAGAUGAUCCCGCGUUGUAUUAGCUAGUUGGUGAGGUAAAGGCUCACCAAGGCGAUGAUACAUAGCCGACCUGAGAGGGUGAUCGGCCACAUUGGGACUGAGACACGGCCCAAACUCCUACGGGAGGCAGCAGUAGGGAAUCUUCGGCAAGAGACGAAAGUCUGACCGAGCAACGCCGCGUGAGUGAAGAAGGUUUUCGGAUCGUAAAACUCUGUUGGUAGAGAAGAACGUUGGUGAGAGUGGAAAGCUCAUCAAGUGACGGUAACUACCCAGAAAGGGACGGCUAACUACGUG
This 497-nucleotide ribosomal RNA is filed under the name uncultured bacterium. RNAcentral's name for it is "partial 16S ribosomal RNA". It matches the Rfam family "Bacterial small subunit ribosomal RNA", at positions 28 to 507 of the family's 1533-position model. The record is from RNAcentral.